Molecule: long non-coding RNA, 1979 nt
Organism: Manis pentadactyla (Chinese pangolin)
Lineage: Eukaryota; Metazoa; Chordata; Mammalia; Pholidota; Manidae
Exons: 2
Source: RefSeq, a predicted model, not a curated record
AACUACAAUGAGGUAUCACCUCACCCCAGUAAGGAUGGCUGCCAUCCAAAAGACAAACAACAACAAAUGUUGGCGAGGCUAUGGAGAAAGGGGAACCCUCCUACACUGCUGGUGGGAAUGUAAGUUAGUUCAACCAUUGUGGAAAGCAGUAUGAAGGUUCAUCAAAAUGCUCAAAACAGACUUACCAUUUGACCCAGGAACUCUACUCCUAGGAAUUUACCCUAAGAACGCAGCAAUCAAGUUUGAGAAAGACAGAUGCACCCCUAUGUUUAUCGCAGCACUAUUUACAACAGCCAAGAAUUGGAAGCAACCUAAAUGUCCAUCGGUAGAUGAAUGGAUAAAGAAGAUGUGGUAUAUAUACACAAUGGAAUACUACUCAGGCAUAAGAAGAGGGCAAAUCCUAUCAUUUGCAGCAACAUGGAUGGAGCUGGAGGGUAUUAUACUCAGUGAAAUAAGCCAAGUGGAGAAAGAGAAAUACUAAAUGAUUUCACUCAUCUGUGGAGUAUAAGAACAAAGGAAAAACUGAAGGAACAAAACAGCAGCGGAAUCACAGAACCCAAGAAUGGACUAACAGAGGAUCAAAGCCUAAUUUGGCUACCCAGAAAAUGAACUAAGAUACCAUAUGAAGAAGAACUUCCAACAUCAGCACUCUCUGGAAGACUCAGACCAGAAGAAGAUCAUCGAAAAACCUCAACAAAGAUCCAGACGCUGCUACAGCUGUAGCUGCAUUCAUCCCACCAGUUCCUGGACUUGCCAUGGGAAUGAAGAAGGAGAUAUCUAAGCUUGCCUGUGAAUACAGUAAAACAGCAAAUUUGACUGGAUCUAUACUGUUGGAACUCAACCAAGAAUUAGGAGAAGUGCAAGUUGUAGCACUCCAAAAUCUUACAACUACAGACUAUCUACUGUUAAAAGAAUGUAUGGGAUGUGAACAGUUCCCAGGAAUGGGUUGUUUUAAUUUGUCUGAUUUCUCUCAGACUGUUCAAGUACAGUUGGACAAUAUCCAUCAUAUCAUAGAUUAAUUUUCACAAAUGCCUAGGGUGCCUAACUCAUUCUCUUGGUUUCACUGGAGAUGGCUGGUAAUUAUAGAUCUGCUUUGGUUAUGUAACUAUACUCCUAUUAUGUUAAUGUGUGUGCGCAAUUUAAUUAGUAGUUUAAAACCUAUACAUGCUCAAGUUACUCUACAAGAAGAUAUGUCAAAGAAAUAAUCAAUCUUCCCAUGUUUUCUUCCAUCUGCUACUUCUAUAGCUUUUCUUCCUCCUUCCUAAUUACAACCCUUAAAUAGAAUUUGUGCCUCAUAUCGAAUUUACCGAGUAUCAUAAUUCCUCCAAGUGGUAAAAAUACCUCAAGACAAAUGCUGGGCAUAGAAGCCACAGGGCAUAAAUCUGCAAAGAAGUAAAAAGCUAACCUUUUCAAACAAUAUGGUUUCUCACUUACCAACUUUACAUUUCCCUGUAUGGCCCCGGAAGAUGACUGGUUAGACAGAGACGGGUAAGAUUCCUCAAGGGAGGAACCUAAGACAGGCACAGUUGCAGGGGGGCCAUCAGGUGAGAAAUUGGGGAUCAACAGAGGUGAGGCUUAGAACCUCACCCCCCCUGUUUUGAGAGAAAUCUUUGGCAUCCAUGGAUGUUUUAUUGCCCUUGUCUAGCUUGGACUAACACAUAGUCUACAGGCACACACCUGAUCAUCUACAUUUGCUCUCUUAUAACACUAAACUAUGUUUUCUACCUUUAUCUUGCAUCUACCUACCACUUCAGCAUUUUAUUAAAAAUAAUAAUAAUAAUAAUAAUAAUAAUAAAGGGAGAAAUGUGGGAUCCACAUAUAAAUCAAGUAUAAAAAUCAAACGAAUAUUCAUAUUUGACCUGAUUGUUUAUAGUUCAUAAUGCGUGAUCAAAACCGAAAGUUUCUGUGAUGACUGCCCUUGUACUGUUCACCAUGUAAGAAUUUAUUCACUAUGUAAGAAUUUGUUCACCAUGUAAGAA